This 836-nucleotide long non-coding RNA is filed under the name Anser brachyrhynchus (Pink-footed goose). RNAcentral's name for it is "lncRNA (ENSABRG00000001428.1)". Lineage: Eukaryota; Metazoa; Chordata; Aves; Anseriformes; Anatidae. The record is from RNAcentral.
AUUCGGAGAGAGGAAAAGAGAGGAAGGGCGUAUCUUUAUACUUCAGCGCCCCAGGAGCUGCCAGUUCUCCAUGAUGACCUGCAACGCACAGUGGGUGACUGUCACACCAGUGUAGUGAGAAGAAAACGCCCUCCUGGCCCCUUCACGUGGCCUUCCCCUGACAAGUCAGCAGGUCUGGGACCUGGGAGAAAGGUCUGCAGGAAAGGCAAACAUCUGGGACCAGGGGUAAGGCCACGUCCUUUUUCAGAGUGUGAAUCUGGUAUAGUGGUGGGCACAACAGUGGUGGGGGAGCAAUCUCUGUUACCUUUCUACAUUUUUCUUUCUCAUUUUAUACAGAGAACUGUAUCUUGUCUUGUCCUUCUUUUGUAAUCCCCAGUUUUAGUACCCUCCUCCCUUAUAUGAAGAGGCACAAGUAUAAAGCCAUAAGUCUAGUACACAUGUAUGUGUGUUAUGUAUGUGCAUACACACACACAAACACAGCUUACACAUAAAAAGUCAUGCUUACAGCACUAUUGUCAUCUUGUCAUAUAUUAGUUAGACAAGGUUAUUUUCAAGGUGUUUUGUUUUGUUUUUAAUAGUAAAACAGUAGUAUUUCUAGGGCUUUAUACCUGAAAUAGCAAAUUUGGGAAUUGAAGAGUACGCCUAUAGUGAUCCAAUACUGUUCUUUUUUUUUUUUUUUUCCACUCAUAGCAGGAAUUCCAGCUAGAAAUCACUCAUUGAAGUUGAUUCAGUGAGAACUGCAGUUCUCUAGUGAAUCACGUACAUCCUCACUAUGCUACAAAAUGUACAUUUUACAUGGAAAAUACUUUGAACAAUAAAUAUUUAGCAGACAGGCA